AGAAAAAAACCAAACAGCCAAGAUGAGUCAGGUUUCCAGGGAAGGGUAAUGUGGGUCUCAGCCACAGGAAGGGAACCUCGCAGAAGACAAAAGACCAGUGAGAAGGAACCCUGAAGUCUACUUCUUUCAUAAUCCAUUCCUCUUUGCUGUUCCCUGUUCCACAGUUUAGCUGCUGGAUUUGAUGUACGUGACAGAAGAAAGGUCCCACCACCUGCUAACCUCAAGGGCAAAACAACAGACUAACGCUUGACCAGAGCAAAUGUGGCCUUAGAAGACAGGAGCGGACACUCCUCCAGCUGUUGUCGAGACAGAGUCCUAUCUCAGGCCUCAAUUUAUCUGUUUGAAAGAAGUGUGUGAAGAUCUCCAAAGUUAGGCAAUAAGGAGGUUCUGCUUCCAGUAUGGCUGAGUAGCUCCCACUGGACCAAUCACCCCACAGAUAGCAGUGAAGUCUGCACCACAUAGAACAAAGACCUUCAGGUCCUGGACAGCAACCAAAGGCAAGCGUACAAAAGGAGGGCUGAAAUUCAGAAGACUGGAAUGGCACUGGGAAAGUCAACACUUCUGUGAGAAACAUAACAGAAGAUAGAGUCUCUACAAUGUAUUAUUUACAAUACCCAGGAUCCAAUACAAACUACUCUACAUAUCUAGAUACAACAAGAGAGGAGGAAGGAACAGAGACCCACGCCAGUGACUCAGAUGUGGGAACGAGCAGGUAAGGAUUUUAAAGCAGCUAUUUCAACUACGCUCAAAGACACAAUAUUCAUUGGAUGGGCUUAAGAGCAGAUUGGAGAUGGGAGAAGGGUUCGAACUUGUAGACAGAUCAACAGAAAUUAUCCAAUAUGAAGAAAAAAGAGAAAAAGAACCAAAGACAAAUGGGCAGAGCCUCAAAAGCCUGUGGGACAACAUCGAGAGGUUUCGCAUAUGAGUAAUUAGAGCCCCAGAGAGGAGAGAAUGGGGCAGUAACAAAUAUUUACUUGAAGAAUUAAUGCCCCAAAAGUCCCAAAUUUGAUGUAGAAUAAAAAUAUACACAUGCAAGUUUAGCAAACCCCAAGCAGCACAAAUACAACAAAAACCAAAUGUAGGUACACUGCAGUUAAACCACUGAAAAAAAAAGGGCCAGCCCUGGUGGCCUAGUGGUUAAGUUGAGCGUGCUCCACUUUGGUGGCCCGGGUUUGGAUCCGUGGCACGGACCUACACCACUUGUCUGUUAGCAGGCAUGCUGUGGUGGUGGCUCAUAUAAAAAAUAAAAAAAGAUUGGCAAUGGAUCUUAGCUCAGGGCAAAUCUUCCUCAGCAAAAAAAAAAAAAAAAAAAAAAGAAGAAGAAGACGACGACGACGAUGACACAUUACAUUACAUGCAGGGGGAUAAUGAUUCCAAUGACCACUGACUUGUCAUCAGAAACAAUGGAGGCCGGAAGACAGAAGAUGAUCAUCAUUAGAGUGCUGAAACAAAAAUCCGGUGAACCUUGAAUUCUACAUCCAGGGGCAAUAUCCUUCAGUAAUAAAAACAACUCCAGAAUUGAUCAAGAACACUCAAAACUCAAAAGAAAUCAAACAACCCAAUAACAAAGCAGACAAAAGAUUUGAAUAAAGACUUCACUAAAAAAAGGAUAUGGAUGGCAAAUAAGCACAUGAAAAGCUGCAACAUCUUAGACAUUUAGGGAAAUACGAAUCACGCUAAUCUUCCUCAAAAAAACAAAAACAAAAACAAAGAAAAAACCCCAAAAAAACCAAUAAAUUUUACUUUAAUAGACCUGAAUUUAAAAAUUACAGCAAUGACAGCAGCUUAGUUCUGGAGCAGGAAGGCCCAUAACUGAAAUACUUUUGGUUAAUAUAAAAUAGAAAUAAAAUAACGCAUAUAGAUAAAAUAAACUAAUACAAUAUAAGAGCAGAAUAAAGGAAAAAUAAAGACAUUUUCUUGAUAAAGAAUACUAAGAGGUCUUCACUAGCAGACCUACACCAUAUGAAAGUUUUUAGGCCAAAGAAACCAAUACCAGAAAGGAAUUCAGGAUUUUUAGGAAUAAGGAACCUUGGAAAAGGUUUAAAAAAAAAAAAGUGAGUAACUACAGACUUUUCUCUCCUUAAGUUCUUUAACAUGACAAUUUAAAGCUGAAAUUAUAACACUUGUGGGGAUUAUAACAUAUGCAGAUGUAAUAAAUCAUGACAACUACAGCAUAAAGGACACGGUGAGGGGAAACUGGGUCUAGAUAUUCCUGAGGUUCUUUCAUUUUACAUGAAGUGGUACAAUAUUAAGCCUAAAUAGAUGAUGAAAGGUUAAGAAUGUGUGUUGUAAUCUCUAGAGCAACCACUGAAAAAAAA
Molecule: non-coding RNA, 2318 nt
Organism: Equus caballus (horse)
Lineage: Eukaryota; Metazoa; Chordata; Mammalia; Perissodactyla; Equidae
Source: RefSeq, a predicted model, not a curated record